Molecule: ribosomal RNA, 518 nt
Organism: Oryza sativa Japonica Group (Japanese rice)
Lineage: Eukaryota; Viridiplantae; Streptophyta; Magnoliopsida; Poales; Poaceae
Rfam family: Bacterial small subunit ribosomal RNA
Source: Rfam
UUGUUUCAUGGCUUUAAUUUGAGCCGCGGAUCCUACUCUGAAAACGGAAAUACCCACAUUAAUAGCAAGCCCGAAUUCCGGCAUUGAAUAGAUCUGCCCACGGGUCGUCAACUUCUUUUCUCGGAGAAGAAACAAUGACGGUAUCUGAGGAAUAAGCAUCGGCUAACUCUGUGCCAGCAGCCGCGGUAAGACAGAGGAUGCAAGCGUUAUCCGGAAUGAUUGGGCGUAAAGCGUCUGUAGGUGGCUUUUCAAGUCCGCCGUCAAAUCCUAGGGCUCAACCCUGGACAGGCGGUGGAAACUACCAAGCUGGAGUACGGUAGGGGCAGAGGGAAUUUCCGGUGGAGCGGUGAAAUGCAUUGAGAUCAGAAAGAACACCAACGGCGAAAGCACUCUGCUGGGCCGAUACUGACAUUGAGAGACGAAAGCUAGGGGAGCAAAUGGGAUGAUGAUGAUGUCCGAUCGAUCUCGACGUACCCCGCCGUCCAAAAAGACUAAACAAGGAGGAGAUUAGUACAUUG